AUUGAACGCUGGCGGCAGGCCUAACACAUGCAAGUCGAACGAGUGGCGGACGGGUGAGGAAUGUCUGGGAAACUGCCCGAUGGCGGUGGAUAAGUACUGGAAACGGUAGCUAAUACCGCAUACCAUCGGAUGUGCCCAGAUGGGAUUAGCUGGUGGGUGGGUUAAAGGCUCACCUAGGAGACGAUCCCUAGCUGGUCUGAGAGGAUGAAGGGCCACACUGGAACUGAGACACGGUCCAGACUCCUACGGGAGGCAGCAGUGGGGAAUAUUGCACAAUGGGCGCAAGCCGGAUGCAGCCAUGCCGCGUGUAUGAAGAAGGCCUUCGGGUUGUAAAGUACUUUCAGCGGGGAGGCGUUACCCGCAGAAGAAGCACCGGCUAACUCCGUGCCAGCCGCCGCGGUAAUUC
Molecule: ribosomal RNA, 406 nt
Filed under: uncultured bacterium
Lineage: Bacteria
Description: partial 16S ribosomal RNA
Rfam family: Bacterial small subunit ribosomal RNA
Source: RNAcentral